GCAUGGCCUGCAUGCCAGCCCAAUCGAAAUAGGUCAUGCUUAGGCACCAUCUAUUUAGAAUUUUUUAAAAUUUAUAAAAAAAUUAUAUGAAUAAAUUAAAAAAAAUUGGAGACUAGGGAUUUAAAUAUAAUGCCAUCUUGUUAGGUGUGGGAUUUGGUAUGGACCCCUAUCAAUUUAUUAAUAAAUAUCAAAAUGAUACAGUGAGGGA
RNAcentral lists this long non-coding RNA (208 nucleotides) under Elaeis guineensis (African oil palm). RNAcentral's name for it is "long non-coding RNA (EGUI_LNC079002)". Lineage: Eukaryota; Viridiplantae; Streptophyta; Magnoliopsida; Arecales; Arecaceae. The record is from RNAcentral.